CACGUAGGGCGCAAGCGUUGCUCGGAUUCAUUGGGCGUAAAGGGUGCGUAGGUGGCGCCGUAAGUCGGGUGUGAAAUUUCGGAGCUUAACUCCGAAACUGCAUUCGAUACUGCGGUGCUUGAGGACUGGAGAGGAGACUGGAAUUCAUGGUGUAGCAGUGAAAUGCGUAGAGAUCAUGAGGAAGACCAGUGGCGAAGGCGGGUCUCUGGACAGUUCCUGACACUGAGGCACGAAGGCCAGGGGAGCAAACGGG
Molecule: ribosomal RNA, 253 nt
Filed under: uncultured bacterium
Lineage: Bacteria
Description: partial 16S ribosomal RNA
Rfam family: Bacterial small subunit ribosomal RNA
Source: RNAcentral